UACGGUAGGGUGCAAGCGUUGUCCGGAAUUAUUGGGGCGUAAAGAGCUCGUAGGCGGUUUGUCGCGUCUGCUGUGAAAACCCGAGGCUCAACCUCGGGCCUGCAGUGGGUACGGGCAGACUAGAGUGCGGUAGGGGAGAUUGGAAUUCCUGGUGUAGCGGUGGAAUGCGCAGAUAUCAGGAGGAACACCGAUGGCGAAGGCAGGUCUCUGGGCCACUACUGCGCGAGAAGCGAAAGCUGGGAGCAACGG
RNAcentral lists this ribosomal RNA (249 nucleotides) under uncultured bacterium. Its description in RNAcentral is "partial 16S ribosomal RNA". It matches the Rfam family "Bacterial small subunit ribosomal RNA", at positions 524 to 775 of the family's 1533-position model. The record is from RNAcentral.